This 1243-nucleotide ribosomal RNA is filed under the name metagenome. RNAcentral's name for it is "bacterial LSU rRNA". It matches the Rfam family "Bacterial large subunit ribosomal RNA", at positions 1564 to 2818 of the family's 2925-position model. The record is from RNAcentral.
UGAAUACGAGACGCUAAGGCGUCGAAGUAGUGUAUGUCAUACUUCCAAGAAAAGCUUGCACUGUCAUAGAUAAAAAACGCCUGUACCAUAACCGACACAGGUGGGUAGGUAGAGUAUACUAAGGGGCGCGAGAUAACUCUCUCUAAGGAACUCGGCAAAAUAACUCCGUAACUUCGGGAGAAGGAGUGCCUUAUUAUUAAGGCUGCAAUAACAAGAUCCAAGCAACUGUUUAUCAAAAACACAGGUCUCCGCUAAGUCGUAAGACGAUGUAUGGGGGCUGACGCCUGCCCAGUGCCAGAAGGUUAAAGAAGUUGGUUAGCAUUUGCGAAGCUGAUAACUGAAGCCCUGGUGAACGGCGGCCGUAACUAUAACGGUCCUAAGGUAGCGAAAUUCCUUGUCGGGUAAGUUCCGACCCGCACGAAAGGCGUAAUGAUUUGGAUACUGUCUCGGAGAGGGGCUCGGUGAAAUAGACUUGCCUGUGAAGAUGCGGACUACCUGCACCAGACAGAAAGACCCUAUGAAGCUUUACUGUAACUUGAAAUUGAAAUUGGACUUUAUUCGCGCAGCAUAGGUGGGAGGCGUUGAUUAUAAUCUUGUGGGAUUAUUGGAGCCAUCAGUGAGAUACCACUCUUGUAAUGUUAGAUUUCUAACUUUGAAUCAUUAUCUGGUCAAAGAACAGUUUCAGGCGGGCAGUUUGACUGGGGCGGUCGCCUCCUAAACGGUAACGGAGGCGUACAAAGGUUUCCUCUGAACGGUUAGAAAUCGUAUCUAGAGUGUAAAGGCAUAAGGAAGCUUGACUGUGAGACCUACAAGUCGAGCAGGGACGAAAGUCGGUCUUAGUGAUCUGACGGUACUGAGUGGAAAGGCCGUCACUCAACGGAUAAAAGUUACUCUAGGAUAACAGGCUGAUCUCCCCCAAGAGUUCACAUCGACGGGGAGGUUUGGCACCUCGAUGUCGGCUCAUCGCAUCCUGGGGCGGUAGUACGUCCCAAGGGUUGGGCUGUUCGCCCAUGAAAGCGGUACGCGAGCUGGGUUCAGAACGUCGUGAGACAGUUCGGUCCAUAUCCGGUGUAGGCGUUAGAAUAUUGAGAGGAGCCUUCUUUAGUACGAGAGGACCGAGAAGGACAUACCUCUGGUGUACCAGUUAUCGUGCCAACGGUAAACGCUGGGUAGCUAUGUAUGGAGUGGAUAACCGCUGAAAGCAUCUAAGUGGGAAGCCCACCUCAAGAUAAGUAUUCUCAUC